AGACUUAUCCUCUUCUCCCCCAUCGGUCCACGCCACACUCUCCUCCCAGACUUGUCCUCUUCUCCCCUCCCUCCUUCGAAACAUAGGGCACGACGCAGCGCCUCAACACGCAGUCCACGCCGCCGCCGCCAUAGCGCCACAAUCCACACAGCUCCUCCGCACGGCCGCAUCCGCCGCAUCCACCCAUCCCACCGCCGCACCUCCGCUCCGCUGCAUCCACGAAUCGGUGGUGACGAAAUAGAGCAGAGCUCGUUGGCCUCCACGGUGCACAUCCACAGCCGGGCUCCCACUCGCGAUGAGAAGCAUAGACUCGCCUUCCUCCAGAUCUGGCGGCACCACCUCCUCCGAAUCUGCCAUGGCGGAUGCCACAGCUGCUUACCUGUUCACGAUGAGGUUUACACUGCAUCAGUCUUGAACUCAUCGGCAAUGGCCAGGUACGCAUCACCCCUCCUGCACGUUGUGUGCCCCCAAUCCAUGAGUCCAUCCAUCCAUCCCUCUUUGCCUCGAUUCUGAUUCAGCAGGUGCCGUGGAGUUGAAGGGGCGGCGUUCAUCUCAGUUGCAUUAACGGUAUAGGAUAGAUCUAGUGGUGAGGAACAGGAUUAUAAGCUAGGACAGGUGAGUUCAAGUUUUUGCGUGGGUGCCUUAUGGAUGAGCACUACGAGAGAUGAGACAAAUGGCUUCUCGAUGAGGCAGAAGUGUAUCGAUUAUUUCUGUAGGGGCUUAAUUCAGCGUUCAUAGUGAACUCUAGAUUUUCAUUUGUUCUGACAAAUAUUUUGCACAUUUCAGAUCUCAAACUUUUUAACUGGAAAUCUCUUCUCACACUCACAGUGGAAUGUGCGUCCGUCUGUUAGCUUGCCCCCAUAUACCACUAGAUUUGUCUGAUGGAUGUCCAGGAGCAACUGAGUGCCCAAUCACUAUUGACUGCUCUAUAGAGCAACUUAAGCCUUGGAAUUAUGAGUGGCAAAUCACUAUUGACUGCUCUAUAGAGCAACUUAAGCCUUGGAAUUAAUUGUUUUUAUUACACCCUGUUUGAAUAAGCUUGAUGGAUUAAUUUUCUUAACAAUGAUUUGGUGCUCAAAAUAAAAAUUUGAUUUGUCCUUGAACCUGUGUUAUGUGAAGUAGUGCAUAGUCUGUUCCCAAGUGCUUAAGUCAUGUAUGUGUUAUGCUUGUUUCCUCUCUGUAGAAUGCAUCAUAGAAAACUAUUAUACUACUGUAUUUUUACUUAUUUCUUGCUAUGGUGAGAAACUCCAUUGUUUGGACAGAUCUUUAUACCAAACAGAAAAUAAACAUGUUUGCACAUAUCUUAAUUUUUUUGGUGUUAUUGUUGCUAGGCUAACAUGGAGGCAUAUCUUGAUCAACAAAUAGAAGGAUAAGCUCCAAAGACGCCACUUGAGGCUGUAGCUCAUGUUGUGCCGAAUUCAACAUUUCUUCAGAAUGGUGGUAUGCAGCUCACAACAAAGAAGAAAAAUACCAAGGUUGCUAAAAUGACUACUCGUGUGAAUGAUCUUUAGAGUGAACUGCAAGCUGCUCAGAUGGGAUCAGCUGGACUGUUGUGUUGCCGCUGUUAUGAGCUGUUGUUGUCACUGUUACGCUAUUGUGUUGCUACUAUUAUGCAAAUUUGAGACAACAGUUUCUUGAUUUGUAAGACUUUAGAGUGAAAUUAUUAUAAUGUCUUGCUGUGUUCGAGCAGCAGAUUCUUGAAUUAUAAGACUGGUGAUUUGGAGAUAAUAUUAUGUGAUGUAUGGGCUAUUUCUGUGAUGUA
This is a long non-coding RNA of Sorghum bicolor (sorghum), 1762 nucleotides long. RefSeq lists it as uncharacterized. Lineage: Eukaryota; Viridiplantae; Streptophyta; Magnoliopsida; Poales; Poaceae. The transcript is spliced from 2 exons. The record is from RefSeq and is a predicted model, not a curated record.